Molecule: long non-coding RNA, 1074 nt
Organism: Mirounga angustirostris (Northern elephant seal)
Lineage: Eukaryota; Metazoa; Chordata; Mammalia; Carnivora; Phocidae
Exons: 3
Source: RefSeq, a predicted model, not a curated record
CCGCCCCACGCCCUUCAGGGACGGCGAGAGCGCGCCUGCCCCGCCCCCGUGCCGUCCCCUGCCCCCCAGGGCCACAGGAGCGGCUCCAGCUUUUCAAUUCUGCCGCCAUCUUUAGGGCGGCCAACUUCCCGGCCUCCUCGCGCUCGGGAGGGCCACGCUCGGGGCGGUAGGAAACGGGGGAGGGGCCAGCCAGAAGGGUCUCAAUGAAGCCCCUUUCUGAGACUUCCUCCUCUCCAGCGCCUGUGUUACUCAAACCCUGAGGAAGGCGGAAAGGCUGUGACAAGCAACGCCUGGGCUCUGUCUGAACGAAACGUAGCACCUUAACAGUGACCGGGAUCGCGGCCCCGCCUUUUACAGCCGAGGCCAGACAGUCCGGCGGGUUGCCGGCCACCCUGCGGGUUGGAGUCAGCAGCAGCCGGGCACGGUUUUGCCACUAAGCCAAGCUACCGAGUGUCGGGAGACAAACAGCACUGAAGUCAGCUAGAACAACCUGCACCAAGCCCUAGCCUUGUUAACCUCUUUGGCUGAAUGUUAUUUUCCAUGUUAUCAAUCUGGAAGUAAUAUUCCUGCCCGGUCUCAAGAGAUUUAAUAAAAUAUGUAAUUGGAUUUGUAUACUCUAAAAUGCUCGAAUGGGGGUGCCUGGGUGGCUCAGUCGUUAAGCGUCUGCCUUCGGCUCAGGUCAUGAUCCCAGGGUCCUGGGAUCGAGCCCCGCAUCGGGCUCCCUGCUCCGCGGGAAGCCCGCUUCUCCCUCUCCCAGUCCCCCUGCUCAUGUUCCCUCUCUCGCUGUCUCUCUCUCUGUCAAAUAAAUAAAUAAAAUUAUAAAAAUAAAUAAAUAAAUAAUAAAAUAAUAAAAUGCUCGAAUGAAUUUAGCAGGUGCGAAAUGAGUUUCAAGUACUGCUCGCCUUCCUAGCCUGACACUCAAGACCCUUGAGUGUGUAGUCCUUGCCCACCUCUCCUCUCGGAGAACACCCCGCCACCCUGCAACGCUCCACUGUGUCUCCAACAAGCUGCACCUUUGCCGCUUCAAUACCUUCCCUUGUGGGUUCCUCCGCCGGCGGGGGUGGGGGGGUCGAA